Molecule: long non-coding RNA, 362 nt
Filed under: Mytilus galloprovincialis (Mediterranean mussel)
Lineage: Eukaryota; Metazoa; Mollusca; Bivalvia; Mytilida; Mytilidae
Source: RNAcentral
AAAAAUUGUAUAUAUGGGGUUCUUUGAUAUAUGCUUAAUCUAACCAUGUAUUUAGAUUUUUGAUGUUUGGGCCCGGUUAUCAGAUUGGUCCACAUUGAGGUCUAAAGGGUCCAAAAUUGAACUUUAUUUGAUUUCAUCAAAAAUUGAAUUCUUGGGGUUCUUUGAUAUGCUGAAUCUAACCAUGUAUUUAGAUUUUGGAUAUUGGACCAUAAUAGGUAAUGUCCAAUUUAAAAUUUAAAGUUUUUAAGUUUAAGUUCUUAGACCACAUUCAUUAUGUGUCAAAAACCUGUGUUGUGUCAACUAUUUAAUCACAAUCCAAAUUCAGAGCUGUAUCAAGCUUAAAUGUUGUGUCCAUACUUGCC